GAAAGCAAAGAAGGGCAUAUGGAGGAUGCCUAGGCUCUCGAAGGCGAAGAAGGACGUGAUAAGCUGCGAAAAGCUCCGGGGAGUGGCAAAUACACCGAGAUCCGGAGAUAUCCGAAUGGGGCAACCCGUCGAGGCUCGACCUCGACACACGCGAAUGCGUGGGCGAACGUGGGGAACUGAAACAUCUAAGUACCCAUAGGAAGAGAAAAUAACAAUGAUUCCGCAAGUAGUGGCGAGCGAACGCGGAAGAGCCCAAACCGCAGGCGUAGCAAUGCGCCGUGCGGGGUUAUAGGACCGGCGCCACGAAGAACCGAAUGCUAGCCGAACCGACUGGAAAGUCGGGCCGCAGCGGGUGACAGCCCCGUAGGCGAAAGCGUUCAGCGAUUCCAGCCGGCACCUGAGUAACCCGGAGCACGAGGAAUUCCGGGCGAAUUAGCGGGGACCAUCCCGUAAGGCUAAAUACUAACGAGAGACCGAUAGCGAACCAGUACCGUGAGGGAAAGGUGAAAAGAACCUCGAACAGAGGAGUGCAACAGACCCUGAAACCAUAUGCCUACAAGCGGUCGGAGCGGCUUCGUGCCGUGACGGCGUGCCUUUUGCAUAAUGAACCUACGAGUCACCGUCGUUGGCAAGGUUAAGGACAAGGAUGUCCGGAGCCGAAGCGAAAGCGAGUCCGAACAGGGCGCCGGAGUCAGCGGAGGUGGACGCGAAACCAAGUGAUCUACCCUUGGGCAGGUUGAAGGACAGGUAAAACUGUCUGGAGGACCGAACCGGUAAGCGUUGAAAAGCUUUCGGAUGACCUGAGGGUAGGAGUGAAAGGCCAAUCAAACUUGGAGAUAGCUCGUACUCCCCGAAAUGUAUUUAGGUGCAGCCUCGGAGAGAAUCUGACGGAGGUAGAGCGACUGAUAGGAUGCGAGGGCUUCACCGCCUAUCAAGUCCUGACAAACUCCGAAUGCCGUCAGACAUAUCCGGGAGUAAGGGCGCGGGUGCUAAGGUCCGCGUCCGAGAGAGGAACAACUCAGACCAUCGGCUAAGGUCCCGAAAUCCGGGCUAAGUUGAAGACAAUAACGAGGUGGGAUUGCAUAGACAGCUAGGAUGUUGGCUUGGAAGCAGCCAUUCAUUUAAAGAGUGCGUAACAGCUCACUAGUCGAGUGAUCCCGCGUGGAUAAUAAUCGGGCAUAAGUCCGGUACCGAAGCCAUGGAAUCACGCUUUGUGCGUGAUUGGUAGGGGAGCAUUCCGUACAGCGACGAAGGUCGGUGGCGAUGCCGGCUGGAGCGUACGGAAAAGCAAAUGUAGGUAUAAGUAACGAUAAUGGAGGCGAGAAACCUCCACGCCGAAAGACCAAGGUUUCCUGAUCAACGCUAAUCGGAUCAGGGUAAGUCGGGGCCUAAGGGGCAGCCGCGAGGCGGACCCGAUGGAAGAAACGGUAAAGAUUCCGUUACUGUCGCCGGGAGUGAAGCGGGGACGGAGGAGUGACACCGCCGCGGACUGACGGAAUAGUCCGUUGAAGAGUGUAGGUAUUCGGAGGCCAGGCAAAUCCGGCCUUCGAGCUGAACUUGACAGUACUGCGAGCCUUCGGGCAAGCAGACAGCGCGGGUAAUCAGACUCCCAAGAAAAUCCGCUAAACAUAUGUCGGCGACACCCGUACCGAAACGGACACACGUGGUCGGGUAGAACAUACUAAGGCGCUCGAGAGAUUCACCGUUAAGGAACUAGGCAAAUUGACCUCGUAACUUCGGGAUAAGGGGUCCCACAGCGAUGUGGGCGCAGAGAAUAGGUCCAGGCAACUGUUUAACAAAAACACAGGGCUGUGCGAAAUUUAAAGAUGAAGUAUACAGCCUGACACCUGCCCGGUGCCGGAAGGUUAAGAGGAGAAGUCAUCGCAAGAGAAGCUUUGAAUUGAAGCCCCGGUAAACGGCGGCCGUAACUAUAACGGUCCUAAGGUAGCGAAAUUCCUUGUCGGGU
RNAcentral lists this ribosomal RNA (1966 nucleotides) under human gut metagenome. Its description in RNAcentral is "bacterial LSU rRNA". It matches the Rfam family "Bacterial large subunit ribosomal RNA", at positions 1 to 1977 of the family's 2925-position model. The record is from RNAcentral.